Molecule: ribosomal RNA, 492 nt
Filed under: uncultured bacterium
Lineage: Bacteria
Description: partial 16S ribosomal RNA
Rfam family: Bacterial small subunit ribosomal RNA
Source: RNAcentral
AGUGAACGCUGGCGGUAGGCCUAACACAUGCAAGUCGAACGGCAGCACAGUAAGAGCUUGCUCUUACGGGUGGCGAGUGGCGGACGGGUGCGGAAUACAUCGGAAUCUACUUUUUCGUGGGGGAUAAAGUAGGGAAACUUACGCUAAUACCGCAUACGACCUACGGGUGAAAGCAGGGGAUCUUCGUAACUUGCGUGAUUGAAUGAGCCGAUGUCGGAUUAGCGAGUUGGCGGGGGAAAGGCCCACCAAGGCGACGAUCCGUAGCUGAUCUGAGGGGAUGAUCGGCGACACUGGAACUGGAACACGGUCCAGACUCCUACGGGAGGCCGCAGUGGGGAAUAUUGGACGGUGGGCGCAAGCCUGAUCCAGCCAUACCGCGUGGGUGAAGAAGGCCUUCGGGUUGUAAAGCCCUUUUGUUGGGAAAGAAAAGCAGCAGGUUAAUACCCCGCUGUUCUGACGGUACCCAAAGAAUAAGCACCGGCUAACUUCGUG